Molecule: long non-coding RNA, 1191 nt
Organism: Gastrolobium bilobum
Lineage: Eukaryota; Viridiplantae; Streptophyta; Magnoliopsida; Fabales; Fabaceae
Exons: 8
Source: RefSeq, a predicted model, not a curated record
UCUCUUCACUAAGCCGCUACAAGUGAAAGAUAUUCAAUGAUAGUUCUUUAGUUCUUUUAUGGAAACAGAGAAAUGGCCACCCAUAUUUCGAUAAUGGAUUCCCCUUCUUCGGUUUGGAUCAACUCAACUCUCCAAAAUCGAAGAGGUUCAAUUUCAGAUUUGAUAUUUUCGUUAACCUUGUUUAGGUUUUGAUUGAUGCUUGCUUAUUGAUCCAUUUGGUUGGAUCGUGCGACUUUCACGCUUGUUCUGGUGCGAUAAUGCAGAGAAGCACGCCGGUGAGAAAGCCACACAUCUCCACUUCCGAUCUCCUCACAUGGUCGGAAGUUCCUACGCCACCACCGUCUCCGCCUCCGGCAACGCUCUCGCCAGGUAACUAUUAAUUAACUCUCAUUUUUCUUUGAUAUAUCAUUUUCAGGAACAAUCCAUUCUACCGAGUCAUUGUUACUGAUAGUAAAACAACAAGAGAUGGCAAGAACCUUGAAGUUUUAGGUUACUAUAAUCCUCGAUCAGGUAAAGAUUCUGAUAAAAGAAUGGGUCUCAAACUUGAAAGAGUGAAGUGAAUCUAUUAUCUCUCCGGGUGCCAAGCAAGGAUUAAUCCCUCUUGCUAUACCAAUGUCAACAAAUAGCUCAGGUACUGUAAUUGCACUGUUAAGGUGGCCCACGGCUCCACCUAAGAUGGAAAUGCCUGUGGUGGAAGUCAGAGAACAUGGAGUGUGGCUUCUAGCUAAGAGUGUAUCUUGGAUGUGUUUGUUUUUUGCUGAGUUUCUUGGGUUUAGGGGGAAGGCUAUUACUUUGAACCUGCCUCCUCACCGAUGAGGAUUAGUUGGAGUCAACUCACUGCUGAUCCUGUAUUUUGAGAAUGUAUCUGACCCAAAAGGAAUUCAGGAAACUGUUGUAGAGUGCUCUCUUUCUUUUCAUGUCACGUUGUACUUAGAGCAUUUCUUGCAUAUGAACUCUGGAAGGAUUAAGCAUGAUUUUGUAUGGCUUGAUGUGAUCUCGGUUCGUGUAGGUUGUUGGGAAAUUGUCUUUUCUUUCGUGAUGGUAUGGUACAUACUCUUUGAUGUAGAUGUACGAGUUUGCCUUUCCACUGUUUUAGGGGUUUAUAUCCCCAUUUGUAUGUGGGAGAUCACAUUAUCAUAAUGAGCACCCAUAUUUAGCUAGAUUAUUUCAUAUAAUUAUGUUGACAAAACU